GACGAACGCUGGUGGCGUGCCUAAUACAUGCAAGUAGAACGCACAGUUUAUACCGUAGCUUGCUACACCAUAGACUGUGAGUUGCGAACGGGUGAGUAACGCGUAGGUAACCUGCCUGGUAGCGGGGGAUAACUAUUGGAAACGAUAGCUAAUACCGCAUAAUAUUAAUUAUUGCAUGAUAAUUAAUUGAAAGGUGCAAUUGCACCACUACCAGAUGGACCUGCGUUGUAUUAGCUAGUAGGUGAGGUAACGGCUCACCUAGGCGACGAUACAUAGCCGACCUGAGAGGGUGAUCGGCCACACUGGGACUGAGACACGGCCCAGACUCCUACGGGAGGCAGCAGUAGGGAAUCUUCGGCAAUGGACGAAAGUCUGACCGAGCAACGCCGCGUGAGUGAAGAAGGUGUUCGGAUCGUAAAGCUCUGUUGUAAGAGAAGAACGGGUGUGAGAGUGGAAAGUUCACACUGUGACGGUAUCUUACCAGAAAGGGACGGCUAACUACGUG
Molecule: ribosomal RNA, 505 nt
Filed under: uncultured bacterium
Lineage: Bacteria
Description: partial 16S ribosomal RNA
Rfam family: Bacterial small subunit ribosomal RNA
Source: RNAcentral